This is a long non-coding RNA of Pseudopipra pipra, 716 nucleotides long. RefSeq lists it as uncharacterized. The transcript has 3 exons. The record is from RefSeq and is a predicted model, not a curated record. NCBI's taxonomy places the organism in Eukaryota, Metazoa, Chordata, Aves, Passeriformes, Pipridae.
AAGAGGUCACCUUGUAUGACUGUUCCUCGACGUGGGGAGGAUGCACCCCAGUGAUAAGAGGGUGCACACACCUCCACCCCACACCUCCAACUCACUGACGGCUGGCAGAGCUGGAAAUCCACUUCCAUAUGUAAGCACUUAAACUCUCAAGUGGCCACCAAGUGCUUCAGAAAGCUGAACAACACGUCUAGUUUGGAAGAAAGAACUUCAGGAGAGUAUUUCAAUUUUCGAGUGUAUGUGUGCGUGUUUAGGUUCUAUCUCUCUGAAGAAAACAGCUUAGGAACCACCCUGAGAAGACAGCCAUCAGUCAUCUUCCCAAUCAGUUCCUUCCAGAUGCAUGACCUUGCUGUCCAGACCCGAUGUGUGGACUCAGAGGUGUGUGUGGAUGAAAGAGCUCUGGGCUGUCACAGGCCUUCAGGAAGGGAGCACUGAGCUGGUGCAACUCCCUUCCACAGGCUCUGGUGCUCCUGUGAGCUGAAGCAGAGAGUGUUCCUUUCACCCCUGUGUGCUCACCUGACUAAGAGCAGCAAACCAGGCAGGGAGACUGCCUCUGCCCAGGGCAGCUCCUGCUUGCACAGGCUGCAGUCACUAAAUGUGAUCUGAGUACAUCCUCAAGCAUAGAGACCUCCCUCCAAUGCAUCUAGUUCAAAAUGAGUUGUCUUUAACACCUAGAUAAGUUGUUUUAUUAUAAACUAUUUGUUUAUUAUGCUUUUUAA